This 753-nucleotide ribosomal RNA is filed under the name Triticum aestivum (bread wheat). Its description in RNAcentral is "partial small subunit ribosomal RNA". The record is from RNAcentral. Lineage: Eukaryota; Viridiplantae; Streptophyta; Magnoliopsida; Poales; Poaceae.
AUGCUACAUGCAAUUGAGAGCAAUGCCCCAGAUAUCUCUACUGUCGACCUUGAACUUGGCGACCAAGUGGAUUUCUCACUCUCACUGGGAGAUGGUUCAUCUCAAGUGAAGCAGCUCCGAAUAACACCUGCAUCCCCAAGUUACGCUCUCGGCAAGCUUCCAUCAAUCACACCCGGUGUUGAAGUCCUUGACAUAUUGUUGUUGCCACACGAGGUGAGCACACCAAUGGUGCCCGGCAAAUUCCAACACCUCAAGUACUUGAAUAUUUCUCUCCCUGCUGUCUCGGCAGCAGAUGAAUAUGAUUAUUUGUCUCUGUUAGCUUUUCUUGAUGCUUCUCCUGCCUUGGAGACUCUCGUCUUGAGCUCAGCGAGCAUUAUGAACUGUGUUAACAGAGGCUACGGUCGGAUUCAUCGCGAUGUUUCACAUUUGGCGCGGGCGCAAGAGUUUCGCCAUGGCAGCCUCAAGAACGUGACGAUAUAUAGUUUUUACUCGGCUGAGAGCAUGAUUGAGCUAACCUGUCGUAUGCUGAAGCACACGGCUUCGCUUGAGUGCCUGACGUUGGACACCACCCAUGGUUACUCUAGGUGUUCCUCAUGCAGAAGCGGCAGGUGCUUCCCCAUGGACGCGCGUGAUGUCCUACAGGCCCAGAAAUCGCUCGUGGCUAUAAGAAGAUACAUCAAGCCCGAAGUACCCUGUAAUGUCAACUUGAUUGUUGUUGAGCCUUGCAGUUCCUGUCAUGCGAGCGCUAACUGA